AUUGAACGCUGGCGGCAUGCCUUACACAUGCAAGUCGAACGGUAACAGGUCUUCGGAUGCUGACGAGUGGCGAACGGGUGAGUAAUACGUCGGAACGUGCCUAGUAGUGGGGGAUAACUACUCGAAAGAGUGGCUAAUACCGCAUGAGAUCUACGGAUGAAAGCAGGGGAUCGCAAGACCUUGUGCUACUAGAGCGGCCGAUGGCAGAUUAGGUAGUUGGUGGGAUAAAAGCUUACCAAGCCGACGAUCUGUAGCUGGUCUGAGAGGACGAUCAGCCACACUGGGACUGAGACACGGCCCAGACUCCUGCGGGAGGCAGCAGUGGGGAAUUUUGGACAAGGGGCGAAAGCCUGAUCCAGCAAUGCCGCGUGCAGGAUGAAGGCCUUCGGGUUGUAAACUGCUUUUGUACGGAACGAAAAGCCCCGGGUUAAUACCCUGGGGUCAUGACGGUACCGUAAGAAUAAGCACCGGCUAACUACGUGCCAGCCGCCGCCGUAA
This 498-nucleotide ribosomal RNA is filed under the name uncultured bacterium. RNAcentral's name for it is "partial 16S ribosomal RNA". It matches the Rfam family "Bacterial small subunit ribosomal RNA", at positions 30 to 523 of the family's 1533-position model. The record is from RNAcentral.